AGCAGGCGCGUAAAUUGCCCGUCAACGUACGCUGAUGACAGCAGGCGCGUAAAUUGCCCGAAUCCUGACACAGGGAGGUAGUGACAAGAAAUAACAAUACAGGGCUACAUCUAGUCUUGUAAUUGGAAUGAGUACAAUUUACAUCUCUUCACGAGGAUCAAUUGGAGGGCAAGUCUGGUGCCAGCAGCCGCGGUAAUUCCAGCUCCAAUAGCGUAUAUUAAAGUUGUUGCAGUUAGAACGCUCGUAGUCGGAUUUCGGGGCGGGCCGACCGGUCUGCCGAUGGGUACGCACUGGUCGGCGCGUCCUUCCUUCCGGAGACCGUGCCUACUCUUAACUGAGCGGGGGCGGGGGACGGAUCGUUUACUUUGAAAAAAUCAGAGUGUUUCAAGCAGGCAGCUCGCUCUUGCAUGGAUUAGCAUGGGAUAAUGAAAUAGGACUUUGGUGCUAUUUUGUUGGUUUCGAACACCGAAGUAAUGAUUAAAAGGGACAGUCAGGGGCACUCGUAUUCCUCAGAGAGAGGUGAAAUUCUCAGACCCGCGGAAGACGAACCACUGCGAAAGCAUUUGCCAGGGAUGUUUUCACUGAUCAAGAACGAAAGUUAGGGGAUCGAAGACGAUCAGAUACCGUCGUAGUCUUAACCAUAAACCAUGCCGACUAGGGAUUGGGGGAUGUUCACUGAUUGACUCCCUCAGCACCUUACGGGAAACUAAAGUCUUUGGGUUCCGGGGGGAGUAUGGUCGCAAGGCUGAAACUUAAAGGAAUUGACGGAAGGGCACCACCAGGUGUGGAGCCUGCGGCUUAAUUUGACUCAACACGGGGAAACUUACCAGGUCCAGACAUUGUGAGGAUUGACAGAUUGAGAGCUCUUUCUUGAUUUGAUGGGUGGUGGUGCAUGGGCCGUUCUUAGUUGGUGAAGUGAUUUGUCUGGGUUAAUUCCGUUAACGAACGAGACCUUAGCCUGCUAAAUAG
Molecule: ribosomal RNA, 969 nt
Filed under: Haptophyta environmental samples
Lineage: Eukaryota; Haptophyta
Description: SSU rRNA
Rfam family: Eukaryotic small subunit ribosomal RNA
Source: RNAcentral